This 441-nucleotide ribosomal RNA is filed under the name uncultured bacterium. Its description in RNAcentral is "partial 16S ribosomal RNA". It matches the Rfam family "Bacterial small subunit ribosomal RNA", at positions 338 to 795 of the family's 1533-position model. The record is from RNAcentral.
CCUACGGGAGGCAGCAGUGGGGAAUAUUGCACAAUGGGGGAAACCCUGAUGCAGCGACGCCGCGUGAGUGAAGAAGUAUUUCGGUAUGUAAAGCUCUAUCAGCAGGGAAGAAGAAAGACGGUACCUGACUAAGAAGCCCCGGCUAACUACGUGCCAGCAGCCGCGGUAAUACGUAGGGGGCAAGCGUUAUCCGGAUUUACUGGGUGUAAAGGGAGCGUAGACGGAGAAGCGAGUCUGAAGUGAAAGCUCGUGGCUUAACCACGGGACUGCUUUGGAAACUGUUUGACUAGAGUGCUGGAGAGGUAAGUGGAAUUCCUAGUGUAGCGGUGAAAUGCGUAGAUAUUAGGAGGAACACCAGUGGCGAAGGCGGCUUACUGGACAGUAACUGACGUUGAGGCUCGAAAGCGUGGGGAGCAAACAGGAUUAGAUACCCUGGUAGUC